RNAcentral lists this ribosomal RNA (664 nucleotides) under Tyrannochthonius sp. P6. RNAcentral's name for it is "partial large subunit ribosomal RNA". It matches the Rfam family "Eukaryotic large subunit ribosomal RNA", at positions 40 to 656 of the family's 3401-position model. The record is from RNAcentral. Lineage: Eukaryota; Metazoa; Arthropoda; Arachnida; Pseudoscorpiones; Chthoniidae.
AUAUUAUUAAGUGGAGGAAAAGAAACCAAAAGGGAUUCCCCCAGUAGCUGCGAGCGAAAAGGGAUCAGCCCAAAGCCGAAUCCCUCCGGGGAAAUGUGGCGUAUGGGAGGCGGGUUUUCUGCGCGUGGAGGACGGCUCAAGUUCCCAUGAUCGGGACACCGGAGCGGGUGCGAGUCCCGUACAGUCGUCUUUCUCGCCGCGGAGUUUCCGUUCUCCCGGGAGUCGGGUUGCUUGAUAGUGCAUCCCUAAGUGGGUGGUAAACUCCACCUAAGGCUAAAUAUCCCCGAGAGACCGAUAGCAAAAAAGUACCGUGAGGGAAAGUUGAAAAGAACUUUGAAGAGAGAGUUCAAUAGUACGUGAAACCGCUUAGAGGUAAACGGGUGGGCCCACGAAGUUCUGAAGGCGGUUCGGUUCAGAAGGGCGCGAUGCCCCUUCGCAUUUCCGUGCCGUCGGUAAGAGGCCGCGACUGGUUGGUCGAGGGUCGCAAGUAAAGGUGGCGUUCAGCAUUGACCUUCCUUAGGUUUUUAAGCUCGCUCCUAACUCGGCCGAUCCUCGCACCGACCCAGCACGAGAGAGCCCUCGAACGACGUUCCUUCACCAAAGAACAGGUGGGGGAACGUAAGGUUCUGCGGUCAGUAGAUCGGGUCCCACCCGACCCGUCUUG